AUAAAAUGGGAAGCCCUACUGCUUAGUCACCACCCAUCUUCUCCAAGAGAAAAGAAGAGAAAAAAAACAAGAGCCAGUAAGGCUCCCCACGCAUCAUUCUUUUUUUAGUAACAUUAAUAUUUGCAUUUGGUUGUCUUUACCAAGUAAUUCAGAGACAUGGGAUCGGAGAGCUCUCAGCCGUCUUCUCCUCCUCCUCCUCCUCCUCCUCCUCCUCAUCCUCCUCCUCCUCCUCCUCAACCACGUGGAGGUAAAGAACCAGCCAUAGACUAUCAGGUGGAUAUUAAUUCGACAUCGAUGCUCUACACAGUAAAAGGCUUCCCAUAGGCAAAUGGUGAAGUGGUUCAUACAUAGGACAUCUUAUAUAUCGCGGU
This 371-nucleotide long non-coding RNA is filed under the name Malus domestica (apple). RNAcentral describes it as "long non-coding RNA (MDOM_LNC003567)". The record is from RNAcentral. Lineage: Eukaryota; Viridiplantae; Streptophyta; Magnoliopsida; Rosales; Rosaceae.